RNAcentral lists this ribosomal RNA (482 nucleotides) under uncultured bacterium. Its description in RNAcentral is "partial 16S ribosomal RNA". It matches the Rfam family "Bacterial small subunit ribosomal RNA", at positions 28 to 507 of the family's 1533-position model. The record is from RNAcentral.
GAUGAACGCUAGCGGCAGGCCUAAUACAUGCAAGUCGGACGGGAUUCAGGAGCUUGCUUCUGAUGAGAGUGGCGCACGGGUGCGUAACACGUAUGUAACCUACCUUUAUCAGGGGGAUAGCCUCUCGAAAGAGAGAUUAAGCCCGCAUAAAAUCACAGCACAGCAUUGUGUAAUGAUCAAAUAUUUAUAGGAUAAAGAUGGGCAUGCGGAACAUUAGCUAGAUGGCGGGGUAACGGCCCACCAUGGCGACGAUGUUUAGGGGAUCUGAGAGGAUGGCCCCCCACACUGGUACUGAGACACGGACCAGAAUCCUACGGGAGGAAGCAGUAAGGAAUAUUGGUCAAUGGGCGGAAGCCUGAACCAGCCAUGCCGCGUGCAGGAAGACGGCCCUACGGGUUGUAAACUGCUUUUAUACGGGAAUAAACCCAGAUACGUGUAUCUGGCUGAAUGUACUGUAAGAAUAAGGAUCGGCUAACUCCGUG